UGGUGCCAGCAGGCGGUAAUACGUAGGUGGCAAGCGUUAUCCGGAAUUAUUGGGCGUAAAGCGCGCGUAGGCGGUUUCUUAAGUCUGAUGUGAAAGCCCACGGCUCAACCGUGGAGGGUCAUUGGAAACUGGGAAACUUGAGUGCAGAAGAGGAAAGUGGAAUUCCAUGUGUAGCGGUGAAAUGCGCAGAGAUAUGGAGGAACACCAGUGGCGAAGGCGACUUUCUGGUCUGUAACUGACGCUGAUGUGCGAAAGCGUGGGGAUCAAACAGGAUUAGAUACCCUGGUAGUCCCAA
Molecule: ribosomal RNA, 295 nt
Filed under: Staphylococcus saprophyticus
Lineage: Bacteria; Bacillati; Bacillota; Bacilli; Caryophanales; Staphylococcaceae
Description: partial 16S ribosomal RNA
Rfam family: Bacterial small subunit ribosomal RNA
Source: RNAcentral